This 563-nucleotide ribosomal RNA is filed under the name uncultured bacterium. RNAcentral describes it as "bacterial SSU rRNA". It matches the Rfam family "Bacterial small subunit ribosomal RNA", at positions 62 to 636 of the family's 1533-position model. The record is from RNAcentral.
UCGAACGGACAGGUAAUGAAACCUAGUGAUUUAUCUGUUAGUGGCGGACGGGUGAGUAACGCGUGGGUAACCUGCCGUAUACAGGGGGAUAACACUUAGAAAUAGGUGCUAAAACCGCAUAAGCGCACAGGAUCGCAUGGUCCGGUGUGAAAAACUCCGGUGGUAUACGAUGGACCCGCGUCUGAUUAGCUUGUUGGCGGGGUAGAGGCCCACCAAGGCGACGAUCAGUAGCCGGCCUGAGAGGGUGAACGGCCACAUUGGGACUGAGACACGGCCCAAACUCCUACGGGAGGCAGCAGUGGGGAAUAUUGCACAAUGGGGGAAACCCUGAUGCAGCGACGCCGCGUGAGUGAAGAAGUAUUUCGGUAUGUAAAGCUCUAUCAGCAGGAAAGAAAAUGACGGUACCUGACUAAGAAGCCCCGGCUAACUACGUGCCAGCAGCCGCGGUAAUACGUAGGGGGCAAGCGUUAUCCGGAUUUACUGGGUGUAAAGGGAGCGUAGACGGUGAAGCAAGUCAGAAGUGAAAGCCCGGGGCUCAACUCCGGGACUGCUUUUGAAACUGU